This 611-nucleotide ribosomal RNA is filed under the name uncultured bacterium. RNAcentral's name for it is "bacterial SSU rRNA". It matches the Rfam family "Bacterial small subunit ribosomal RNA", at positions 338 to 945 of the family's 1533-position model. The record is from RNAcentral.
CCUACGGGAGGCAGCAGUGGGGAAUUUUGGACAAUGGGGGCAACCCUGAUCCAGCCAUGCCGCGUGAGUGAAGAAGGCCUUCGGGUUGUAAAGCUCUUUCAGCCGGGAAGAAAUCGUAUGGGUUAAUACCCUGUGCGGAUGACGGUACCGGAAUAAGAAGCACCGGCUAACUACGUGCCAGCAGCCGCGGUAAUACGUAGGGUGCGAGCGUUAAUCGGAAUUACUGGGCGUAAAGCGUGCGCAGGCGGUUUGUUAAGAUAGGCGUGAAAUCCCCGGGCUCAACCUGGGAACUGCGCUUAUGACUGGCAAGCUAGAGUACGGCAGAGGGGGGUGGAAUUCCACGUGUAGCAGUGAAAUGCGUAGAGAUGUGGAGGAACACCAAUGGCGAAGGCAGCCCCCUGGGUCGAUACUGACGCUCAUGCACGAAAGCGUGGGUAGCAAACAGGAUUAGAUACCCUGGUAGUCCACGCCCUAAACGAUGUCAACUAGGUGUUGGGAGGGUAAAACCUUUUAGUACCGGAGCUAACGCGUGAAGUUGACCGCUGGGGAGUCGGCCGCAGGUUAAAACNCAAAGGAUUGACGNNGAGAGNGCGAGACGACGACGAGGAGAG